Non-coding RNA from Equus caballus (horse), 1218 nucleotides. NCBI's taxonomy places the organism in Eukaryota, Metazoa, Chordata, Mammalia, Perissodactyla, Equidae. The record is from RefSeq and is a predicted model, not a curated record.
GGCUGGCAGGGUCCCGGGCACGGAGCUGCGGGAGAGCGGGUGGGGGACGGGAGGAGGAACAGGGCGGGCGAGAGGGAAGCACAGAGGCGAGGUUACGAGGCGGAGAAGGGGCGCCCGGCGGCCCCGCCGCCCCCCACAGUACCGCACACGCAGCGGCCACCCCUCCACGCCGCCCCCCGCACACAGAUCGGCCCCCGCACACCGCCCGGGGCCGGAGCCCGGGCCCGGGCCGAGCCCGGCUCGCAGCGCCCGCUCGCCCGCCCGCCGCCCGCGCGGUGGGGGAGGGGGUCCCCGAGCCCGGCAGCUCCCGCAGUCAGGUCCCCGACACCUCCGCCUCGCCGCCCCCGGCCUCCCUCCCCCCACCCCUGCCGCCCGCGGCUGCCGGGCCGGGGUCGCCGCCCGGGCUCGGUCAGUCGGUACCUUCAUGAAGGUCUCUACCGCGCCUUUGGCCGUGUCCAGAUAUUUUGCUUUGAACAGCCCUGUAUUAAAAUAUUUCAAGGAAGUUUCAAUACAUUGACUGUCAAGAAACUACUAAAGCAUCUUUUAGAGCCAGUUGUUAAACAUUUACAAGCACACUACUGGACACAGCCAGCCUGAGACAACCUCUUGAUGUGGGAGCUAAGAAAAACUCACACACAGACCUCACUCUCAAGAUAGAAGGAGGACCCGACUCCCCCAGGAGUCUCUUGGUGUGUGCUACUCGAACCAUCAAGCAUGUCUCCAGUUUCUUCGUUUCUGUGCAGAAGCUCGGUGCUGAGGACGUAGGAGACCAGCAGUAGCAGAAGCCAUAGCUUGGAUGGAAUGAGGUGGCACAUGGAAUUGUACGCAAAUCCUGUGGGGAGGGACAUGUACCAGAUACAAGUCAAGGAAAGACACUGGGGACUAGAGUGAAGGCAACCCAAUCUGGACACAUGAAUGUCGCAUUCGAGAAAAGGAAAACAGGAAAACGUGGAAUGAGACCUCAUUACAAGGGUUUACAGAAGCACACGUAGAUGCGCUCAGAUAUCUGCUCUCCAUCUGAAACCACAUUGGUGACUGUACAGAGGGUUGGGAGAAUCCAUCUGGAAUCAGAAAUUUCAGAAUCAAACAAUACUGUGUUAGUGUUCUGAAAUGGUGAAUUUUAAAAGGAAAAGAAGACUUUAAAACAAUUUAAUAAAGAUAACAUGGAAAGAAUCGUAACCAAUUUAUUAAAUGAAAUAUAUCCAACUAAUUGUGAUA